This 505-nucleotide ribosomal RNA is filed under the name uncultured bacterium. RNAcentral describes it as "partial 16S ribosomal RNA". It matches the Rfam family "Bacterial small subunit ribosomal RNA", at positions 28 to 507 of the family's 1533-position model. The record is from RNAcentral.
GACGAACGCUGGCGGCGUGCCUAAUACAUGCAAGUAGAACGCACAGUUUAUACCGUAGCUUGCUACACCAUAAACUGUGAGUUGCGAACGGGUGAGUAACGCGUAGGUAACCUGCCUGGUAGCGGGGGAUAACUAUUGGAAACGGUAGCUAAUACCGCAUAAUAUUAAUUAUUGCAUGAUAAUUAAUUGAAAGGUGCAAUUGCACCACUACCAGAUGGACCUGCGUUGUAUUAGCUAGUAGGUGAGGUAACGGCUCACCUAGGCGACGAUACAUAGCCGACCUGAGAGGGUGGUCGGCCACACUGGGACUGAGACACGGCCCAGACUCCUACGGGAGGCAGCAGUAGGGAAUCUUCGGCAAUGGACGAAAGUCUGACCGAGCAACGCCGCGUGAGUGAAGAAGGUUUUCGGAUCGUAAAGCUCUGUUGUAAGAGAAGAACGGGUGUGAGAGUGGAAAGUUCACACUGUGACGGUAUCUUACCAGAAAGGGACGGCUAACUACGUG